RNAcentral lists this ribosomal RNA (441 nucleotides) under Triticum aestivum (bread wheat). RNAcentral's name for it is "partial small subunit ribosomal RNA". Lineage: Eukaryota; Viridiplantae; Streptophyta; Magnoliopsida; Poales; Poaceae. The record is from RNAcentral.
AUGGCCGGAAGGAAGGGAGGCGACAGGAAGAAGGCGGUGACCAGGUCCGUCAAGGCCGGGCUCCAGUUCCCCGUCGGCCGCAUCGGGCGCUACCUCAAGAAGGGCCGCUAUGCCCAGCGCGUCGGCUCCGGCGCCCCCGUCUACCUCGCCGCCGUCCUCGAGUACCUCGCCGCUGAGGUCCUGGAGCUCGCCGGCAACGCGGCCAAGGACAACAAGAAGACCCGCAUCAUCCCGCGCCACCUGCUGCUCGCCGUCCGCAACGACCAGGAGCUCGGCAGGCUGCUCGCCGGCGUCACCAUCGCCCACGGCGGCGUGAUCCCCAACAUUAACUCCGUGCUGCUCCCCAAGAAGUCCCCCGCCGCCGCCGAGAAGGAGGCCAAGUCGCCCAAGAAGAAGACCUCCACCAAGUCCCCCAAGAAGAAGGUCGCUGCCAAGGAGUAG